UACGUAGGGUGCGAGCGUUAAUCGGAAUUACUGGGCGUAAAGCGUGCGCAGGCGGUUGUGCAAGACAGAUGUGAAAUCCCCGGGCUCAACCUGGGAACUGCAUUUGUGACUGCACGGCUGGAGUGCGGCAGAGGGGGAUGGAAUUCCGCGUGUAGCAGUGAAAUGCGUAGAUAUCAGGAGGAACACCGGUGGCGAAGGCGGAUCUCUGGGCCUGUUCUGACGCUGAGGCGCGAAAGCUAGGGGAGCGAACAGG
Molecule: ribosomal RNA, 253 nt
Filed under: uncultured bacterium
Lineage: Bacteria
Description: partial 16S ribosomal RNA
Rfam family: Bacterial small subunit ribosomal RNA
Source: RNAcentral